RNAcentral lists this long non-coding RNA (1981 nucleotides) under Theobroma cacao (cacao). Its description in RNAcentral is "long non-coding RNA (TCAC_LNC000394)". The record is from RNAcentral. Lineage: Eukaryota; Viridiplantae; Streptophyta; Magnoliopsida; Malvales; Malvaceae.
UAUUUUCUUAUAAAAUAAUAUUUAUAUUUACCGAUAAAUAAUUUUUGUAGCUUAAAAGCUAAAUAAAUUCAUACAUACUGUAAUACAGAUAACCAAAGUAUAAAAUUUAAUUUACAGUGACACGUGGGCCCACGAAUGACCAAAAGUAUCAAAAGCGGUAAACCUACAGUUUUUGAGGAUGCUAAUCCAACUGUAGCGCUCAACAAAGUGAGCUAUCUAUCAACUAUCUUGAGUCUGAAAUGGGUGGAAAGGAGGGUGGUGAGAUUAUAUAAUCCAAGUGAGUAAACAAAUACCAUCUAAAAUAUCUAAAGCUGAGUAAAUGGAGACAGAUAAAAUAGUUUAACAUACUGUAAUUCAUCAACUUCCAACUCAUUUCAACCAAAUAAAAUCAAUUCAUAUAAAUCGAGUAAUCAACAUGGCUUAUGAAUUUCUUAAAACCUUGGCUCGUGCCAAAAUCAUUCUCAUACUCAGUUAUUAGGGAUACCUUGGCCGAGGGCUAUCCCAACCGAGUCCGCCAAGACUGUUAAAAAGUCAUGUACGCAUAAAUCAUGUUUUUAUUUUGAAAACAUAGCCGUUCCUAAGCGUUGGCUGAGUUCUCCCUCACGUGGUGGUUUGGCGUGAAGUGAACUCUAAAAGUGUACCUCAGGAGUUACCCUACACGCCUCUCCAAUCGAGGUAAGAAUAUAACAAGGUUACCGUGCCCCUCUAAUAAGCUGGUCCACGGAACCCACCCACUGCAGCUAUCUAAACCCACCAAUUCAAUAAAAUCUCAACCGCAUGACAUGGCAAUUAUAUCACAAUCCAGCCUCUCAAGGCUAAAUACACAGUUCAUAUAUUUUCAGCACAUUUACCAAUUCAGCCAUUCAUGCAAAUAUUGUCAUAAGCCAUUCGAUUCGAACCAUGAAUUUACAACACAUGAAAACAGUCUAUAAUUACUCUAUUUUCAAAACCAUCAUUCAAUCUCAAGACAAUUUUAUAAAAUCAUUUUCAUUUAAUCUCAUUUUGCUUGUAAAAUACAAAGAUUUACCAUUUAAACUCAUUUUCCAUAAAAUUACAAAAUCGGAUAAAACCACUUUAGAUAAUUAAUAUGAUAGUAAGGUUACUCACUAUUUCGGGAGUCGAAUUCCGAGUACUCCGAUUCUUGAUCCUCGGGUACUAUCUCUUUACUUUUGCCAGAAUGCUCACUACCUAGACAUAAUGCACAAUAAGCCAUUUACUACAUUUGUGCUAAAUUAUUAUAAAACCAAUUCAGGCUCUAUACUAAUGCAUGAAAUGGGAUAUGAAAUACUCGGGUAACUAUCUAAAUACGGUGUUCAAUAUAAAUUCAAUUAUGUACCUAAAUAAAAUGGUAUUGGCCUAAUUUGAUUUAUCACCCGAUUAAUUGGCCAAUACGUCCAAUUCAACUCCAAAUAAUUCCAUUUUUCUUCCAAUACUCCAAAUCAUCAAACACAAAUUAAAUAACUUGAAAUAUGGCAAAAUUAUCCUCACAUUUUCUCUUGGAAAAUUCGACCAUGGUGGGUGCAUCAAUACUAUAAUUUUUCCUACUUAAUUCUCACACCAUAAAUCACUAAUUCCUAACCAAAUCACUUGAAAUAAAAUCAAAAUCAUCCUCAAUAUUCCACAUGGAGAAUUCGGCUAAUGAUGGGUGAUGGAAGAACAUGAAUUUUUCUUGCUUGAUUUUCAUGCUACACAUCACCAAUCAACUAAAAACACUAAAAUACAUUGAAAUCUAACCAAAUCAAGCAUCAAAACCUCUCUCUAAGUGUUCAGCCAGCAAGAUACCCAUCAUGAAAUCAUGUGAUUCAACCAUGGAAAAUGCAAAAGAAUGUAUGGGAAAGGUAGAUCACAAGUCAAAAUCAAGAAAUUUUACCUUUGAUUGCUUGAUUACUUGAAAUUCACCAAAUUUUCUCUUGAAUUUUCACCCUAGGGUUCUUGUUCUUUCUUUUCUUCCUUUGUUCUUGCUUUGGCCGGUCAUAUGAAG